UACGUAGGGUGCAAGCGUUAAUCGGAAUUACUGGGCGUAAAGCGUGCGCAGGCGGUCUUGUAAGACAGAUGUGAAAUCCCCGGGCUCAACCUGGGAACUGCAUUUGUGACUGCAAGGCUGGAGUACGGCAGAGGGGGAUGGAAUUCCGCGUGUAGCAGUGAAAUGCGUAGAUAUGCGGAGGAACACCGAUGGCGAAGGCAAUCCCCUGGGCCUGUACUGACGCUCAUGCACGAAAGCGUGGGGAGCAAACAGG
RNAcentral lists this ribosomal RNA (253 nucleotides) under uncultured bacterium. RNAcentral's name for it is "partial 16S ribosomal RNA". It matches the Rfam family "Bacterial small subunit ribosomal RNA", at positions 524 to 776 of the family's 1533-position model. The record is from RNAcentral.